Molecule: transfer RNA, 75 nt
Filed under: archaeon
Lineage: Archaea
Description: tRNA-Arg
Rfam family: tRNA
About the family: Transfer RNA (tRNA) molecules are approximately 80 nucleotides in length. Their secondary structure includes four short double-helical elements and three loops (D, anti-codon, and T loops).
Source: RNAcentral
GGGCCGGUAGCACAGUCUGGAUAGUGCGGUGGGCUUCGGACUCACAGGUCAGGGGUUCAAAUCCCCUCCGGCUCG